UACGUAGGGUGCGAGCGUUGUCCGGAAUUAUUGGGCGUAAAGGGCGCGUAGGCGGCGAUUCAAGUCAGAUGUGAAAGGCCUGGGCUCAACCCGGGAACUGCAUUUGAUACUGGAUUGCUUGAGUCCGGGAGAGGAUGGCGGAAUUCCCAGUGUAGAGGUGAAAUUCGUAGAUAUUCGCAAGAACACCAGUGGCGAAGGCGGCUCACUGGCCCGAUACUGACGCUGAGGCACGAAAGCGUGGGGAGCAAACAGG
Molecule: ribosomal RNA, 253 nt
Filed under: uncultured bacterium
Lineage: Bacteria
Description: partial 16S ribosomal RNA
Rfam family: Bacterial small subunit ribosomal RNA
Source: RNAcentral